This 73-nucleotide transfer RNA is filed under the name Marmota monax (woodchuck). RNAcentral describes it as "tRNA.Ser". Lineage: Eukaryota; Metazoa; Chordata; Mammalia; Rodentia; Sciuridae. The record is from RNAcentral.
CUUGGGAUGUAGCUCAGUGGUAGAGUGUUUGCCUAGAAUGUGUAAAGCCCUAGAUUCAAUACUUAGCACAAGA